ACCAAGAUGGCGGACGCUAAGUGUCCCCCCCCCCCCGCGCUCGUAUUGGUUACAAUGAAGCCGGAAGUAGCGCUGUGAUUGGUGGCUCAGCCAGCCAAUGGGAAUAGCGGAAGUGGUUAAAAGGGGGCGGGUUUUGGUGGGCUGACGUCACUUCCGGCGCGGGAGCGGAGCGGCGCGAAAGUUUGGGGGGGGGGGGGGAGCGGGGGAAAGGGAACGAGCUGCCCGCCGCCGGAUGUGACGUCACGGGACCGGAAGUAUGGACGGGAAGGUCACGUGUUCCCCCUCCGCCCUCCGGGUGGCGCUGUGUGCCUGUUGGCAUGUCCUUCGUCGCCGUCGUCUUCGUCACCUCCCUCGUGUCCUGGCCCUAUUGGAGGCCGUGCUCAAAGCCGCCCCCAACGCCGUCACCCCACAACAUGGCGUCCGCCUCCGCCUCGGCCUGCAGGCUGCCCAUCCCUUGCGAUGACAAGAUGGCCGCCGACCCAUCCCAGAAUGCCUUGGGGUUCCAAGAUGGCCGACACCCCUUCCCAGAAGGCCUUGGGGCUCCAAGAUGGCCGACAAUCCUUCCCAUAAGGCCUUGGGGUUCCAAGAUGGCCGACACCCCUUCCCAGAAGGCCUUGUGGUAUUAAAAUGGAUGCCAACAAUCCUUCCCAGCAUCCCUUGCGGUCCCAAGAUGGCUGCCGCCCCUUCCCAGCAUGCCUUGAGGUGCCAAGAUGGCUGCCUACCCAUCCCAGUAGACACUGCUGCACCAAGAUGGCUGCCACCCCUUCCCAUAAGGCCUUGGGGUGCCAAGAUGGCCGCCGACCUAUCCCA
RNAcentral lists this long non-coding RNA (810 nucleotides) under Coturnix japonica (Japanese quail). Its description in RNAcentral is "lncRNA (ENSCJPG00005002137.1)". Lineage: Eukaryota; Metazoa; Chordata; Aves; Galliformes; Phasianidae. The record is from RNAcentral.